CAAAAAUCCAUCUCAGAACCUCAAGUGCUGGGAAAGAGUUGAGUGGGAGGGCUUCUUGCGGUGUGAAUUGUCACAGGUGACUAAAAUUAAGCUGACCAGGGAGGUAACUAGCUAAUCUAACAAUUCCUAUGUGGCUGGUGGUACGUGGCGUGUUUCUGCAUGGCAGGAGUCGGAGCAGUCACACGGUCUGGAACGCUCGGCUCUGGGCAGGCACCAUGACCAGCGUGGCUCCCAUCUUCAUCAGCCUCACCACCAGGAACAGGAGGCAGAGUCCCACCACAACCCCACAAACUGCUCCAGCAAUCAUGCCAAUAUUUUGGGCAUCUGUUGUCCGGACAAUAAACAGAUGAACA
RNAcentral lists this long non-coding RNA (353 nucleotides) under Gallus gallus (chicken). RNAcentral describes it as "long non-coding RNA NONGGAT005263". Lineage: Eukaryota; Metazoa; Chordata; Aves; Galliformes; Phasianidae. The record is from RNAcentral.